This 253-nucleotide ribosomal RNA is filed under the name uncultured bacterium. RNAcentral's name for it is "partial 16S ribosomal RNA". It matches the Rfam family "Bacterial small subunit ribosomal RNA", at positions 524 to 776 of the family's 1533-position model. The record is from RNAcentral.
UACGGAGGGUGCGAACGUUAAUCGGAAUCACUGGGCGUAAAGGGCGCGUAGGCGGCCUUCUAAGUCAGACGUGAAAUCCCCCGGCUUAACCUGGGAACUGCGUCUGAUACUGGAAGGCUUGAGUGCGGGAGAGGGAUGUGGAAUUCCAGGUGUAGCGGUGAAAUGCGUAGAUAUCUGGAGGAACACCGGUGGCGAAGGCGGCACCCUGGACCAAUACUGACGCUGAGGAGCGAAAGCCAGGGGAGCAAACGGG